CGUCUGUGAUGAUCCUAUCCCGAACCUGAACACCUGUUGAAAAACACAAAACGGAUCUGGCUUCUGAGAU
Molecule: small nucleolar RNA, 70 nt
Organism: Tachyglossus aculeatus (Australian echidna)
Lineage: Eukaryota; Metazoa; Chordata; Mammalia; Monotremata; Tachyglossidae
Product: small nucleolar RNA SNORD50
Exons: 1
Source: RefSeq, a predicted model, not a curated record